ACCAGACUCCUACGGGAGGCAGCAGUGGGGAAUAUUGGGCAAUGGGCGCAAGCCUGACCCAGCAACGCCGCGUGAAGGAAGAAGGCUUUCGGGUUGUAAACUUCUUUUCUCAGGGACGAAGCAAGUGACGGUACCUGAGGAAUAAGCCACGGCUAACUACGUGCCAGCAGCCGCGGUAAUACGUAGGUGGCAAGCGUUAUCCGGAUUUACUGGGUGUAAAGGGCGUGUAGGCGGGAAAGCAAGUCAGAUGUGAAAACCAUGGGCUCAACCUGUGGCCUGCAUUUGAAACUGUUUUUCUUGAGUACUGGAGAGGCAGGCGGAAUUCCUAGUGUAGCGGUGAAAUGCGUAGAUAUUAGGAGGAACACCAGUGGCGAAGGCGGCCUGCUGGGCUUUAACUGACGCUGAGGCUCGAAAGCGUGGGGAGCAAACAGGAUUAGAUACCCUGGUAUA
RNAcentral lists this ribosomal RNA (450 nucleotides) under uncultured bacterium. Its description in RNAcentral is "partial 16S ribosomal RNA". It matches the Rfam family "Bacterial small subunit ribosomal RNA", at positions 330 to 794 of the family's 1533-position model. The record is from RNAcentral.